AUUGAACGCUGGCGGCAGGCCUAACACAUGCAAGUCGAGCGGAUGAGUGGAGCUUGCUCCAUGAUUCAGCGGCGGACGGGUGAGUAAUGCCUAGGAAUCUGCCUGGUAGUGGGGGACAACGUUUCGAAAGGAACGCUAAUACCGCAUACGUCCUACGGGAGAAAGCAGGGGACCUUCGGGCCUUGCGCUAUCAGAUGAGCCUAGGUCGGAUUAGCUAGUAGGUGAGGUAAUGGCUCACCUAGGCGACGAUCCGUAACUGGUCUGAGAGGAUGAUCAGUCACACUGGAACUGAGACACGGUCCAGACUCCUACGGGAGGCAGCAGUGGGGAAUAUUGGACAAUGGGCGAAAGACCUGAUCCAGCCAUGCCGCGUGUGUGAUGAAGGCCUCGGUCGGUAA
RNAcentral lists this ribosomal RNA (398 nucleotides) under uncultured bacterium. RNAcentral describes it as "bacterial SSU rRNA". It matches the Rfam family "Bacterial small subunit ribosomal RNA", at positions 30 to 429 of the family's 1533-position model. The record is from RNAcentral.